GAUGAACGCUGGCGGUAUGCUUAACACAUGCAAGUCGAACGGUCUCUUCGGAGAUAGUGGCGGACGGGUGAGUAACGCGUGAGAACAUGCCUUUAGAUUGGGGACAACAGUUGGAAACGACUGCUAAUACCGAAUGUGCCUUAGGGUGAAAGAUUUAUUGUCUAGAGAUUGGCUCGCGUCAGAUUAGCUAGUUGGAGUGGUAACGGCACACCAAGGCGACGAUCUGUACUUGGUCUGAGAGGAUGACCAGGCACACUGGAACUGAGACACGGUCCAGACUCCUACGGGAGGCAGCAGUGGGGAAUUUUCCGCAAUGGGCGAAAGCCUGACGGAGCAAUACCGCGUGAGGGAGGACGGCUUUUGGGUUGUAAACCUCUUUUAUCAGGGAAGAAUCGAUGACGGUACCUGAUGAAUCAGCAUCGGCUAACUCCGUGCCAGCAGCCGCGGUAAUACGGAGGAUGCAAGCGUUACCCGGAAUUAUUGGGCGUAAAGCGUCCGUAGGUGGUUUAUCAAGUCUGCUGUCAAAGCGUGCGGCUUAACCGCAUAAGGGCAGUGGAAACUGAUGAACUAGAGUGCGAUAGGGGUAACAGGAAUUCCCAGUGUAGCGGUGAAAUGCGUAGAUAUUGGGAAGAACACCAGCGGCGAAAGCGUGUUACUGGGUCUGCACUGACACUGAGGGACGAAAGCUAGGGGAGCGAAAGGGAUUAGAUACCCCUGUAGUCCUAGCCGUAAACGAUGACAACUAGGCGUGGUUCGUAUCGACCCGAGCCGUGCCGUAGCCAACGCGUUAAGUUGUCCGCCUGGGGAGUACGCACGCAAGUGUGAAACUCAAAGGAAUUGACGGGGGCCCGCACAAGCGGUGGAGUAUGUGGUUUAAUUCGAUGCAACGCGAAGAACCUUACCAAGGCUUGACAUCCUCGGAACCCUGAUGAAAGUUAGGGGUGCCUUCGGGAGCCGAGAGACAGGUGGUGCAUGGCUGUCGUCAGCUCGUGUCGUGAGAUGUUGGGUUAAGUCCCGCAACGAGCGCAACCCACGUUUUUAGUUGCCAGCAUUCAGUUGGGCACUCUAGAGAGACUGCCGGUGACAAACCGGAGGAAGGUGUGGAUGACGUCAAGUCAGCAUGCCCCAUACGCCUUGGGCUACACACGUACUACAAUGCGUCGGACAAAGAGCAGCCAGCCAGCGAUGGUGAGCCAAUCUCAUAAACCGACGCUCAGUUCAGAUUGCAGGCUGCAACUCGCCUGCAUGAAGGCGGAAUCGCUAGUAAUCGCAGGUCAGCAUACUGCGGUGAAUACGUUCCCGGGCCUUGUACACACCGCCCGUCACACCAUGGGAGUUGGUCACGCCCGAAGUCGUUACUCUAACUGCUUGCAGAGGAGGACGCCGAAGGUGGGGCUGAUGACUGGGGUG
This 1410-nucleotide ribosomal RNA is filed under the name uncultured cyanobacterium. Its description in RNAcentral is "bacterial SSU rRNA". It matches the Rfam family "Bacterial small subunit ribosomal RNA". The record is from RNAcentral. Lineage: Bacteria; Bacillati; Cyanobacteriota.